Molecule: transfer RNA, 91 nt
Filed under: Pseudomonas moorei
Lineage: Bacteria; Pseudomonadati; Pseudomonadota; Gammaproteobacteria; Pseudomonadales; Pseudomonadaceae
Also listed under: 2 other names
Description: tRNA-Ser
Rfam family: tRNA
About the family: Transfer RNA (tRNA) molecules are approximately 80 nucleotides in length. Their secondary structure includes four short double-helical elements and three loops (D, anti-codon, and T loops). Further hydrogen bonds mediate the characteristic L-shaped molecular structure. tRNAs have two regions of fundamental functional importance: the anti-codon, which is responsible for specific mRNA codon recognition, and the 3' end, to which the tRNAs corresponding amino acid is attached (by aminoacyl-tRNA synthetases). tRNAs cope with the degeneracy of the genetic code in two manners: having more than one tRNA (with a specific anti-codon) for a particular amino acid; and 'wobble' base-pairing, i.e. permitting non-standard base-pairing at the 3rd anti-codon position.
Source: RNAcentral
GGAAGGUUGGCUGAGUGGUUUAAAGCACUGGUCUUGAAAACCAGCGUGCGCUAAUACCGCACCCAGGGUUCGAAUCCCUGGCCUUCCGCCA